CCUACGGGUGACAGCAGUAGGGAAUCUUUCACAAUGGGCGAAAGCCUGAUGGAGCAACGCCGCGUGCAGGAUGAAGGCCUUCGGGUUGUAAACUGCUUUUAUAAGCGAGAAAUAUGAUGGUAACUUAUGAAUAAGGAUCGGCUAACUACGUGCCAGCAGCCGCGGUCAUACGUAGGAUCCGAGCAUUAUCCGGAGUGACUGGGUGUAAAGAGUUGCGUAGGUGGCAUAAUAAGUAGCUAGUGAAAUCUGGUGGCUCAACCAUUCAGACUAUUAGCUAAACUGUUAAGCUCGAGACCGUGAGGGGUAACUGGAAUUUCUAGUGUAGGAGUGAAAUGCGUAGAUAUUAGAAGGAACACCAAUAGCGAAGGCAGGUUACUGGGACGGUUCUGACACUGAGGCACGAAAGCGUAGGGAGCAAACAGGAUUAGAUACCCUUGUAGUC
Molecule: ribosomal RNA, 442 nt
Filed under: uncultured bacterium
Lineage: Bacteria
Description: partial 16S ribosomal RNA
Rfam family: Bacterial small subunit ribosomal RNA
Source: RNAcentral